GCAUCAAUCAUAUUCUUCUGACCCCUCUGGGGACUAGUUUCUAUAACAGAAUGGAGAAUGAGCCAAUGUUGAUUUGUCUGG
Caenorhabditis elegans is the source of this 81-nucleotide non-coding RNA. NCBI's taxonomy places the organism in Eukaryota, Metazoa, Nematoda, Chromadorea, Rhabditida, Rhabditidae. The record is from Ensembl.